Molecule: ribosomal RNA, 993 nt
Filed under: Triticum aestivum (bread wheat)
Lineage: Eukaryota; Viridiplantae; Streptophyta; Magnoliopsida; Poales; Poaceae
Description: partial small subunit ribosomal RNA
Source: RNAcentral
AUGAAGGCGUCGGCGGAGAAGGAAUUCUCCGGCGACGACGUCGAUUUCGACCCCAGCGUGUCNNNNNNNNNNNNNNNNNNNNNNNNNGGGGAAGAAUUGUACGAGGAUUUGUUGGCGAAGGCAUCGCUUCAGCUGCUUGGGAAGGGUCUUCCGCCUCAACUCCGGCACCACGGCUUCAAAAUGAUGCGGCAUCUAUUCAGUUCAAGGAGUGCUACAGCUGCUUUAGUGGCAAAGGCAAUUUGGAGUGGUGGAAUUUCUCUAUUGAAUGAUUUGCUUUCUCCCGUUACUUAUCUAUCUAAACCAGGUCCUGACGAUGCUGAGUUGGCCGCCUUCAUGUUAAAGUGGAUUUCAGAUUUCAGAGGUGGCCUAUGUGAAGCAGAUUUACCUGAUCUAGAUGAGUUUCUCACAAAUGUCAUGCUUUUCCUUUCGUCAUUGCUCGAGAAACAUUUUGAAUCAAUUAUUGCUGAACGCCCUGACGAGCUCAUGGUAUCAACUGAAAAGGAUGUCUUGACGGUAACAUCUUGCUUGCUUGCUGCAAAUGCGUAUGCGGAGUGGGUUCCAGUGGUUCACCUUGUCAAACAUGGUUUAGUUAAAAGAUGCGAGUCCUUACUUCAUCUCAGUAAAUUCCAGACAUAUGCUUUGAAGUUCUUCAAAAUUCUGUGCCAAAGAAGAAGGCCUAUUACUGCCGCACAGGAUUAUGACGAUGCAAUGGGCCAUGUCUUUGAGAUCUUGAUGAGCAUUUCACAAGAUUCUUUGACCAAAGAUAGAGCAUGCUCUGAUUUUAGUAGUGAAAGGGAGCUCGACGUUGCCGAGGGUAUCUGCGACUGUUUGGUUACUCUGGUUUCAUCCAACAUGCAAUGUAUUGUUUCAGAUACCAUUAAGACCUCCUGUUUCCUUCGACAGAUGCUGGAAUAUUACCAACAUUACAAGAUUGCACUUCAUUUUCAGUGCUUACCGUUUUGGCUGAUGGUGCUAACUAAGGGACCUAAAUAA